RNAcentral lists this ribosomal RNA (238 nucleotides) under Gammaproteobacteria bacterium. RNAcentral describes it as "partial 16S ribosomal RNA". It matches the Rfam family "Bacterial small subunit ribosomal RNA", at positions 1 to 232 of the family's 1533-position model. Lineage: Bacteria; Pseudomonadati; Pseudomonadota; Gammaproteobacteria. The record is from RNAcentral.
AGAUUAAACUGAAGAGUUUGAUCAUGGCUCAGAUUGAACGCUGGCGGCAGGCUUAACACAUGCAAGUCGAGCGGAAACGAUGGGAGCUUGCUCCCAGGCGUCGAGCGGCGGACGGGUGAGUAACGCGUAGGAAUCUACCUAGUAGAGGGGGAUAGCCCGAGGAAACUCGGAUUAAUACCGCAUACGCCCUACGGGGGAAAGCAGGGGAUCUUCGGACCUUGCGCUACUGGAUGAGCCU